RNAcentral lists this ribosomal RNA (234 nucleotides) under uncultured bacterium. Its description in RNAcentral is "partial 16S ribosomal RNA". It matches the Rfam family "Bacterial small subunit ribosomal RNA", at positions 100 to 334 of the family's 1533-position model. The record is from RNAcentral.
CGGGGACGGGUGAGUAAUGUCGGGGAAACCGCCCGAUGGAGGGGGGUAACUACUGGAAACGGUAGCUAAUACCGCAUAACGUCGCAAGACCAAAGAGGGGGACCUUAGGGCCUCUUGCCAUCGGAUGUGCCCAGAUGGGAUUAGCUAGUAGGUGGGGUAACGGCUCACCUAGGCGACGAUCCCUAGCUGGUCUGAGAGGAUGACCAGCCACACUGGAACUGAGACACGGUCCAG